GCCUAACACAUGCAAGUCGAACGAGCGAGAGAGAGCUUGCUUUCUCGAGCGAGUGGCGAACGGGUGAGUAACGCGUGAGGAACUUGCCUCAAAGAGGGGGACAACAGUUGGAAACGACUGCUAAUACCGCAUAAGCCCACAGCUCGGCAUCGAGCAGAGGGAAAAGGAGCAAUCCGCUUUGAGAUGGCCUCGCGUCCGAUUAGCUAGUUGGUGAGGUAACGGCCCACCAAGGCGACGAUCGGUAGCCGGACUGAGAGGUUGAACGGCCACAUUGGGACUGAGACACGGCCCAGACUCCUACGGGAGGCAGCAGUGGGGAAUAUUGCACAAUGGGGGAAACCCUGAUGCAGCGACGCCGCGUGGAGGAAGAAGGUCUUCGGAUUGUAAACUCCUGUUGUUGAGGAAGAUAAUGACGGUACUCAACAAGGAAGUGACGGCUAACUACGUGCCAGCAGCCGCGGUAAAACGUAGGUCACAAGCGUUGUCCGGAAUUACUGGGUGUAAAGGGAGCGCAGGCGGGAAGACAAGUUGGAAGUGAAAUCUAUGGGCUCAACCCAUGAACUGCUUUCAAAACUGUUUUUCUUGAGUAGUGCAGAGGUAGGCGGAAUUCCCGGUGUAGCGGUGGAAUGCGUAGAUAUCGGGAGGAACACCAGUGGCGAAGGCGGCCUACUGGGCACCAACUGA
This 684-nucleotide ribosomal RNA is filed under the name uncultured Lachnospiraceae bacterium. RNAcentral's name for it is "bacterial SSU rRNA". It matches the Rfam family "Bacterial small subunit ribosomal RNA", at positions 46 to 743 of the family's 1533-position model. Lineage: Bacteria; Bacillati; Bacillota; Clostridia; Lachnospirales; Lachnospiraceae. The record is from RNAcentral.